RNAcentral lists this long non-coding RNA (1415 nucleotides) under Olea europaea subsp. europaea. Lineage: Eukaryota; Viridiplantae; Streptophyta; Magnoliopsida; Lamiales; Oleaceae. The record is from RNAcentral.
UCUCUACCAAAGGCAUUGCAAAAGGAAAAACUUCAUCAUUCUUUUUCUUUUUCAUACUAUACAAAAAGAGGGCAAGCAAUUCUAAGGAGAGAUUGUUGGUUCCUUCCAAUAGAAGAGUCAUAAUUAUCUCCAUGGAUGUAAAGAUAUUUUCUAUAUGAUUUUUCGAUUAGAGUAUGUUUGAUUGACAUUGAAAAUAUCACCUAGAAAAUAAGAUACUUUCCUUUUUUGAGGAAAACAAAAACCUACACUCCCCUAAUAGAAUAUAUUUUUCUUAAAAACAAGUAAAACUAGGCAUAUUUUCAAUGGAAAAAAAAUAGCAACCAAACAUCCAAAGUACGAAUUUGGGUGGAAAACUGAUAAUUUUUAUGGAAAAUAAAUGCAAUCAACCCUUAAGGCUAUAAGAAAAUGUUGGAACGUGGAAGACUGGAAGCUAUGAGUAGUUCAUUCUAGAUUCAACAUGAUAACACAACUCUUAACAUUAGUCAAGUUUGAAGUAUCCUAGCUCCCUAAGCAUACAAUUUGGAUACAAUUAAUGGAAAUAUAUUCUUUCCUUGUCUCAUCGUCAUACGGAGCAUCGGGUGCAUUAAUAUGGAAUAUUUCACUUAGGCAAGAAGCAAUUGCAACUUGUAAAUCAACAUGUGCGUAUUUUAAUGGUUCAUAUUAGUGGAGAGAAAUGUGAGCAUGGAAAUAACAGGUGAUUAGUCCACUUGUGAGAGUAAAUUUUCAAUUUGUUCAUAUACAGGCAAGAGAUCAUUAAGAGACUACAAAUUGAAGAAUCUGUAUUCCAGUUUCAUUAAUUUUUCCCAACUUUUUGUAGGCACACCACUACAUUUAUGGGACUAACUUAUUCAAAGUGAUUUGAAUUGCACGAUUUUUGCAUGUUUCUUUUUUCUUUUUAUUUAUUAUUAAUUUUAGAAUAAGAUACCAAGCACCUAUAUGAAAAUUAAAGUUCAGGUGGAACAAAAUUGAUACUUGACCAAAAAUCAAAUUGAACCAGCAACCCAACGUUUGAAUCAUUGAUAAGCAUAUGCAUUCUACUAGAAUAAGAUAAGAAGCCCUCGAAAAAUCAAGGGCAACAAGCUACUUAAAAGGUUCGGCCGAGCUGAAUAUUGGAGAGUUCAUCCUACCACAAACCCUAUAGAUAUAAAAGAUGGGCUGUCAAGAACAUAGAGGAGGUGGAUGGCAGUUGAUAAGAUUUAGUUUGAAUCACACAUGGAAUGUAACAAAAUACCUUUCAGGGUUUUGAAAGCACUAGCUAAGGCAGAGAAAGAAUAUUUUGUUCUAUUUGUUGGUAACUCUUUGAUGCAGUCUAAGCCUACAACUAAAAUAAGGGGUCGAGUUUUGUUAUCCUUAAUUAUUUUCCUACAAUUGAAGUCACUAGAGGGCGUUUAAUCUAUAAUUAUGUAUUAGGGCCU